GACGAACGCUGGCGGCGUGCCUAAUACAUGCAAGUAGAACGCUGAAGGAGGAGCUUGCUCUUCUGGAUGAGUUGCGAACGGGUGAGUAACGCGUAGGUAACCUGCCUGGUAGCGGGGGAUAACUAUUGGAAACGAUAGCUAAUACCGCAUAAGAGUAGAUGUUGCAUGACAUUUACUUAAAAGGUGCAAUUGCAUCACUACCAGAUGGACCUGCGUUGUAUUAGCUAGUUGGUGGGGUAACGGCUCACCAAGGCGACGAUACAUAGCCGACCUGAGAGGGUGAUCGGCCACACUGGGACUGAGACACGGCCCAGACUCCUACGGGAGGCAGCAGUAGGGAAUCUUCGGCAAUGGACGGAAGUCUGACCGAGCAACGCCGCGUGAGUGAAGAAGGUUUUCGGAUCGUAAAGCUCUGUUGUAAGAGAAGAACGAGUGUGAGAGUGGAAAGUCAC
Molecule: ribosomal RNA, 452 nt
Filed under: Streptococcus mitis
Lineage: Bacteria; Bacillati; Bacillota; Bacilli; Lactobacillales; Streptococcaceae
Description: bacterial SSU rRNA
Rfam family: Bacterial small subunit ribosomal RNA
Source: RNAcentral